Molecule: ribosomal RNA, 251 nt
Filed under: uncultured prokaryote
Description: partial 16S ribosomal RNA
Rfam family: Bacterial small subunit ribosomal RNA
Source: RNAcentral
ACGUAGGUGUCGAGCGUUGUCCGGAUUUAUUGGGCGUAAAGAGCCCGCAGGCGGCUUGCCAAGUUCGAGGUGAAAUCUCCCGGCUCAACCGGGAGGGGGCCUCGAAAACUGGCAGGCUUGAGGCAGGGAGAGGGAUGUGGAAUUCCCGGUGUAGUGGUGAAAUGCGUAGAUAUCGGGAGGAACACCAGUGGCGAAGGCGGCAUCCUGGCCCAUUUCUGACGCUCAGACGCGAAAGCUAGGGUAGCAAACGG